ACUUUUGAUGAAGUUUUCGGAUGGAUUCAGAUUUGACUUAGCGGCGGACGGGUGAGUAACGCGUGGGUAACCUGCCUUACACUGGGGGAUAACAGUUAGAAAUGACUGCUAAUACCGCAUAAGCGCACAGUGCCGCAUGGCACGGUGUGAAAAACUCCGGUGGUGUAAGAUGGACCCGCGUCUGAUUAGGUAGUUGGUAGGGUAACGGCCUACCAAGCCGACGAUCAGUAGCCGACCUGAGAGGGUGACCGGCCACAUUGGGACUGAGACACGGCCCAAACUCC
This 284-nucleotide ribosomal RNA is filed under the name uncultured Lachnospiraceae bacterium. RNAcentral's name for it is "partial 16S ribosomal RNA". The stretch from base 46 to 284 matches the Rfam family "Bacterial small subunit ribosomal RNA", at positions 100 to 339 of the family's 1533-position model. Lineage: Bacteria; Bacillati; Bacillota; Clostridia; Lachnospirales; Lachnospiraceae. The record is from RNAcentral.